Molecule: ribosomal RNA, 292 nt
Filed under: uncultured bacterium
Lineage: Bacteria
Description: partial 16S ribosomal RNA
Source: RNAcentral
GGACUACUGGGGUAUCUAAUCCUGUUUGCUCCCCACGCUUUCGAGCCUCAGCGUCAGUAAAAGCCCAGCAGGCCGCCUUCGCCACUGGUGUUCCUCCUAAUAUCUACGCAUUUCACCGCUACACUAGGAAUUCCGCCUGCCUCUACUUCACUCAAGAAGUCCAGUUUUGGAUGCAGCCCCGCAGUUAAGCUGCGGUAUUUCACAUCCAACUUAAACCCCCGCCUACGCUCCCUUUACACCCAGUAAUUCCGGACAACGCUCGCCACCUACGUAUUACCGCGGCGGCUGGCAC